This 492-nucleotide long non-coding RNA is filed under the name Androctonus crassicauda. The record is from RNAcentral. Lineage: Eukaryota; Metazoa; Arthropoda; Arachnida; Scorpiones; Buthidae.
UUAUGAUAUGAUAUAUAUUGAAAGCAGAAAGUGUUAAUAAUCAGAAUAGACAAGUAGAACAAUCAAGUACAUUCCAACAACAAGGCCACUCCCAAAACAGACAUCUAAAUAUAUGCCAGUGUCAUCAUUAACUAGAGGAAUACUAGCUAUAAAUUUAACAAAGUUUCAAGAGCAUAUAAGAGGAAUGCUACCAUCUUCUAACAUUUACAAAAUGACAAGGAUCCUUAUCCGCCAGAUCAAAGAGCUGGGAUCUAUGAUUUGCCCUUAUACAGUGAAGACCUUAAUAAGCAGGAAGAGUACAUACAAGAAACCUACAAAAUAAAAUUCCAAAACACAAAGCCAACAUUAAAAACGGAAAUCUAAGAACAGUGUUAGCAGAAAGGGUCCUAUAAGCAUAAUAUACAAAUCAAAUGCGAAGACACAAUGAUCAUAAAAUCUUGUAAUAAUUUAAAAGAAAGCUUAUUGCUGGAAUCAUUAGAAAUAAUACAAAGA